GACGAACGCUGGCGGCGUGCUUAACACAUGCAAGUCGAACGGAAAGGCCCUGCUUUUGUGGGGUGCUCGAGUGGCGAACGGGGGAGUAACACGUGAGUAACCUGCCCUUGACUGUGGGGUAACUUCAGGAAACUGGGGCUAUUACCGGAUAGGAGCUCCUGCUGCAUGGUGGGGGUUGGAAAGUUUCGGCCGUUGGGGAUGGAUUAGAGGGUUAUGAGCUGGUUGGUGGGGUAGGGGCUUACCAAGGCUUUGACGGGUAGCCGGCCUGAGAGGGUGACCGGGCACAUUGGGACUGAGAUAGGGCCCAGACUCCUACGGGAGGCAGCAGGGGGGAAUAUUGCACAAUGGGCGGAAGCCUGAUGCAGCAACGCCGCGUGCGGGAUGACGGCUUUCGGGUUGUAAACCGCUUUCGCCUGUGACGAAGCGUGAGUGACGGUAAUGGGUAAAGAAGCACCGGCUAACUACGUG
This 468-nucleotide ribosomal RNA is filed under the name uncultured bacterium. RNAcentral's name for it is "partial 16S ribosomal RNA". It matches the Rfam family "Bacterial small subunit ribosomal RNA", at positions 28 to 507 of the family's 1533-position model. The record is from RNAcentral.